CGGACGGGUGAGUAACGCGUGAGAAUCUGGCUUCAGGUCUGGGACAACCACUGGAAACGGUGGCUAAUACCGGAUGUGCCCUUAGGGGUGAAAGGUUAACUGCCUGAAGAUGAGCUCGCGUCUGAUUAGCUAGUAGGUGUGGUAAGAGCGCACCUAGGCGACGAUCAGUAGCUGGUCUGAGAGGACGAUCAGCCACACUGGGACUGAGACACGGCCCAGACUCCUACGGGAGGCAGCAGUGGGGAAUUUUCCGCAAUGGGCGAAAGCCUGACGGAGCAAGACCGCGUGAGGGAGGAAGGCUCUUGGGUCGUAAACCUCUUUUCUAUGGGAAUAAGAAAGUGAAGGUACCAUAGGAAUCAGCAUCGGCUAACUCCGUGCCAGCAGCCGCGGUAAUACGGAGGAUGCAAGCGUUAUCCGGAAUGAUUGGGCGUAAAGAGUCCGUAGGUGGUUAUUCAAGUCGAUUGUUAAAGAGCGGGGCUUAACCCCGUAGAAGCAGUGGAAACUGAAUAACUAGAGAGAGGUAGGGGUAGAGGGAAUUCCCGGUGUAGCGGUGAAAUGCGUAGAGAUCGGGAAGAACACCAGUGGCGAAAGCGCUCUACUGGACCUCAUCUGACACUGAGGGACGAAAGCUAGGGGAGCGAAUGGGAUUAGAUACCCCAGUAGUC
This 665-nucleotide ribosomal RNA is filed under the name uncultured cyanobacterium. Its description in RNAcentral is "bacterial SSU rRNA". It matches the Rfam family "Bacterial small subunit ribosomal RNA", at positions 99 to 795 of the family's 1533-position model. The record is from RNAcentral. Lineage: Bacteria; Bacillati; Cyanobacteriota.